AACGCACGAGACCUGCGGACCUGCGGAAGGAUCAUUACAGAGUUGCAAAACUCCCAAACCAUUGUGAACGUUACCUUCUCGUUGCUUCGGCGGGCGGCCCGGGUCCUUCCCGGCGCCCCCCGGCCCCUCGCGGGCGCCCGCCGGAGGUAAACCAAACUCUUGAAUUGUAUGGCCUCUCUGAGUCUUCUGUACUGAAUAAGUCAAAACUUUCAGCAACGGAUCUCUAGAUCGGAAGAGCAC
RNAcentral lists this unclassified non-coding RNA (240 nucleotides) under soil metagenome. Its description in RNAcentral is "partial contains 5.8S ribosomal RNA, internal transcribed spacer 2, and large subunit ribosomal RNA". The record is from RNAcentral.